GGGCUGGCAUGGAAUUCCAUCCCUGGAUCCCUGGCAGUGCCCAAGGCCAGGCUGGGCACUGGGGACAGUGGGAGCACCUGGGACAGUGGAAGGCUGGUCUCCCAAACCAACCACUUGUACAAUUUUUUUAUUCUUUAUCUCUGUCACUCUUUCACUUUGUGGAACCUGUUCUGCUGGCUGGAUAGUGUAUUUGUGUAGAGAGCACUGAUCAAGUGGAAUAAUGAGGGCAGAGACAGGAACACUCAGCUGACAAAAGAGUGGAUCGAGGCAUUAAUACACUUCUUGAAUUUAUUUUUGUAUAAAUUUUGUACAAUUACUGAUUCAUAUUAAAAUAUUUUUUAUGACAUUUAAAACCUAAA
Molecule: long non-coding RNA, 359 nt
Organism: Agelaius phoeniceus (red-winged blackbird)
Lineage: Eukaryota; Metazoa; Chordata; Aves; Passeriformes; Icteridae
Source: RefSeq, a predicted model, not a curated record